Long non-coding RNA from Oncorhynchus keta (chum salmon), 172 nucleotides. RefSeq lists it as uncharacterized. The record is from RefSeq and is a predicted model, not a curated record. The transcript has 3 exons. NCBI's taxonomy places the organism in Eukaryota, Metazoa, Chordata, Actinopteri, Salmoniformes, Salmonidae.
CUGCCAUGGCUGAAGUCUGUACGGUUUAUUAAAUGAGUAGACAGGUGUCUGCCAUGGCUGAAAUCAGUAUGGUUUAUUAAAUGAGUAGACAGGUGUCUGCCAUGGCUGAAAUCAGUACGGUUUAUUAAAUGAGUAGACAGGUGUCUGCCAUGGCUGAAGUCAGUAAGGUUUA